This 520-nucleotide unclassified non-coding RNA is filed under the name uncultured Glomus. Its description in RNAcentral is "SSU rRNA". It matches the Rfam family "Eukaryotic small subunit ribosomal RNA", at positions 569 to 1088 of the family's 1831-position model. Lineage: Eukaryota; Fungi; Glomeromycota; Glomeromycetes; Glomerales; Glomeraceae. The record is from RNAcentral.
CGCAGCCGCGGUAAUUCCAGCUCCAAUAGCGUAUACUAAAGUUGUUGCAGUUAAAAAGCUCGUAGUUGAAUUUCGGGGUUAGUAGGUUGGUCAUGCCUCUGGUAUGUACUGGUCUCACUGAUUCCUCCUUCCUGAUGAGCCGUAAUGCCAUUAAUUUGGUGUUGCGGAGAAUCUGGACUGUUACUUUGAAAAAAUUAGAGUGUUUAAAGCAAGCUAACGCUUGAAUACAUUAGCAUGGAAUAAUGAAAUAGGACGUUCGAUCCUAUUUUGUUGGUUUCUAGGAUUGACGUAAUGAUUAAUAGGGAUAGUUGGGGGCAUUAGUAUUCAAUUGUCAGAGGUGAAAUUCUUGGAUUUAUUGAAGACUAACUACUGCGAAAGCAUUUUGCCAAGGAUGUUUUCAUUAAUCAAGAACGAAAGUUAGGGGAUCGAAGACGAUCAGAUACCGUCGUAGUCUUAACCAUAAACUAUGCCGACUAGGGAUCGGAUGAUGUUAAUUUUUUCAAUGACUCAUUCGGCGCCU